UCAACAUGGAGAGCUGUGCACAAACAGUCGUCCGAAGCAACUCAAAAAACAUUCUGUCAUCUAACUUACACUCAUUUUGGGAAAUCUGGAUACUUUAGUGCUAUAUGCUGUCAGACAUGGACACAUUGAUAUGUUGCAUCAUUUAGUAGAGCAGCUCAACAUGGACAUUGAAGUGUACAACGACUUCUUCGAGCACUGCACGAGGCUUCUGAAGGGAAUUUAUGAAUUUUCAUAUAGUCAUUUUGGAGCUGCUGAAUCAUGGUGGUAACCCAAUGCUGUAGAACAAGGAUGGAUGGAACUCAUUCCACAUUGCAUGCUGAGAAUGAGAUCUAGCCAUCAUACACCACCUCCUACUGGCCAAACCCGAGGUGUGGAAGACAAAGUGCAAGACUGGCAGGACACCUCUCCACACUGCUGUGAAGAUUAUGCUUCAGAGUUGUAGCUAUGUGCCUGAUGAGAAAGAAAGUUGUGGAGUCACACCAUUUAUGGAUGCCAUAAGAAAUUAAUUGCUCCUUGAGAUUCACCAGCGGUAGAUAUUAUAGUUGCACAGACCCUACACCAGGCCUCUGUAACUGCUCAGGAAGAAGCACUUUAUUUCCUCGUGCAUAAUCUUGGUAUUGAUAUAAACUUAAGAGCCACAAAACUGAAGCUGACUGCACUGCACUACGCCGCUAAGGAAGGUCACACAUGUUUCAUAAAAACACUGCACGCCCUGGGCGCUGAUCUACAUACAAGAGACACAAAAGGAAGAUCAGCUCUACAUAUGGCCUGCAUUGGACAGAAUGUGGAUGCCUUUAGGAUGCUGCUGCAAUUGGAACUCAGAUAUACUGAAGACAAUACAGGCAAUACAACAAAACAGUAUGCCAAAAAACCUCAAGACAUUAAGGAGAUACGGACUAUAAGUGUCAUUUCUGUCAUACAAUUUAAAUAGC
Long non-coding RNA from Carassius gibelio (silver crucian carp), 932 nucleotides. RefSeq lists it as uncharacterized. The record is from RefSeq and is a predicted model, not a curated record. The transcript has 7 exons. Lineage: Eukaryota; Metazoa; Chordata; Actinopteri; Cypriniformes; Cyprinidae.